UACAGAGGUGGCAAGCGUUGUUCGGAAUUACUGGGCGUAAAGGGCGCGUAGGCGGCCUGUUAAGUCGAACGUGAAAUCCCCGGGCUCAACCCGGGAACUGCGUCCGAUACUGGCAGGCUUGAAUUCGGGAGAGGGAUGCGGAAUUCCAGGUGUAGCGGUGAAAUGCGUAGAUAUCUGGAGGAACACCGGUGGCGAAGGCGGCAUCCUGGACCGAGAUUGACGCUGAUGCGCGAAAGCCAGGGGAGCAAACGGG
This 253-nucleotide ribosomal RNA is filed under the name uncultured bacterium. Its description in RNAcentral is "partial 16S ribosomal RNA". It matches the Rfam family "Bacterial small subunit ribosomal RNA", at positions 524 to 776 of the family's 1533-position model. The record is from RNAcentral.